GCCAGUUUUAUUACAUCCAUGCGACCUACACGCUAAUAGGUAAAGAUAGGUCCUAAUCCCACCCGAGUAUGUGUAGAUUAGGUUCGUUUUCCCAUGCUCUACUCCGGAUCCAACAAAAAAAUUUGGCAGCACCUCCCCGCUAUUCUCCUAAUACACGUUUCGGCAAUAAACAGAGAGGAUGUGUAUCCGAAGAACAACAGGGAGGCACUGGCGAAAUUAUGCAUCCAAUCCGAAACAAAGCAUAUGGGAAAACGAACCCAAUCUGAACAUACUCGGGCUAUCCAUGGAUAACGUUAGACAAUUCGGAAGAAUCACAGUUAUAAAUAUAUGCAAAUGCAUGCAUAUUUAUAAUUGUAACCCUUUCGAGCGGGAGACGCAUACUGAUCACACAUACUGAUAAUUUAAUGUACCUAUAUCUAGGAAGUUUCAUCCAAAGACUGACUCAGAGCAAAUUAAGGGGCGAGGAGGAGAUGUCAUUUGUAUUCACCCACGAACACAGGGGAGGAGCUCGUCGAACGCACGGGGAGGUCUUUGUACAGCACACGAGACAACUACACAUGUAAAUCCACCAGAUCAACACAAAUAUUUGUGUUCAUUAAUAAAAUCAAAAAAUAUAUUACCUAACACAAAUAUAUGACAUAUAUAGAUGUCAUUUAGGGUUCCAUCGACGCUGAGGAAGCCCCUAACUCGCUCGUCCACGGUGCCCUCAGGUAUGGCGACGCACGGUCGAAGGGUUAACACGCCAUCUCUUCCAGUUCCGGAGAUCUCUCCUCUCUGCCUCUCCUGUCCUCUCCGAUCAUUCUCCUGGUGAGCUCCCGCCGGUAGCCUCUCAAAGGCCAAAGAGCACCUUAUCGGUCAAGAGGGGCCGAAGAAGUGUCAGGGGUUGGGGGUAAGUGCCAUCGGGGGCGGCGUAUUAAUAACUGCGCGGACUUUCGUGCGGGGGUGUCAGGAUGUCGUGUCAGGGCGUCGUGUCAGGGUGUCGGGGCGUUGUUUCGGGGUGUUGGGGCGUCGUGUCGGGGUGUCAGGGUGUCCUUUUCUUCUUCAUCCUCUUCCUUUUCCCUCUUCUUCCUUUUCUUCUUCUUCUUCUU
Molecule: long non-coding RNA, 1088 nt
Filed under: Hordeum vulgare
Lineage: Eukaryota; Viridiplantae; Streptophyta; Magnoliopsida; Poales; Poaceae
Description: long non-coding RNA (HVUL_LNC016078)
Source: RNAcentral